RNAcentral lists this ribosomal RNA (485 nucleotides) under uncultured bacterium. RNAcentral's name for it is "partial 16S ribosomal RNA". It matches the Rfam family "Bacterial small subunit ribosomal RNA", at positions 30 to 507 of the family's 1533-position model. The record is from RNAcentral.
AUUGAACGCUGGCGGCAGGCUUAACACAUGCAAGUCGAGCGGAGAGAGGUAGCUUGCUACUGAUCUUAGCGGCGGACGGGUGAGUAAUGCUUAGGAAUCUGCCUAUUAGUGGGGGACAACAUUUCGAAAGGAAUGCUAAUACCGCAUACGUCCUACGGGAGAAAGCAGGGGAUCUUCGGACCUUGCGCUAAUAGAUGAGCCUAAGUCGGAUUAGCUAGUUGGUGGGGUAAAGGCCUACCAAGGCGACGAUCUGUAGCGGGUCUGAGAGGAUGAUCCGCCACACUGGGACUGAGACACGGCCCAGACUCCUACGGGAGGCAGCAGUGGGGAAUAUUGGACAAUGGGCGCAAGCCUGAUCCAGCCAUGCCGCGUGUGUGAAGAAGGCCUUAUGGUUGUAAAGCACUUUAGGCGAGGAGGAGGCUACUUUAGUUAAUACCUAGAGAUAGUGGACGUUACUCGCAGAAUAAGCACCGGCUAACUCUGUG